RNAcentral lists this ribosomal RNA (229 nucleotides) under uncultured bacterium. RNAcentral's name for it is "partial 16S ribosomal RNA". It matches the Rfam family "Bacterial small subunit ribosomal RNA", at positions 568 to 796 of the family's 1533-position model. The record is from RNAcentral.
CGUGUAGGCGGACUCGCAAGUCGGUCGUGAAAUCCCUGGGCUCAACCUAGGAACUGCAUCCGAAACUGCUUGUCUUGAGUAAUGGAGAGGGUGGCGGAAUUCCCGGUGUAGAGGUGAAAUUCGUAGAUAUCGGGAGGAACAUCAGUGGCGAAGGCGGCCACCUGGACAUUUACUGACGCUGAGACGCGAAAGCGUGGGGAGCAAACAGGAUUAGAUACCCUGGUAGUCC